UACAGAGGUCUCAAGCGUUGUUCGGAUUCAUUGGGCGUAAAGGGCGCGUAGGCGGUUUGUUAAGUCGGCUGUGAAAGCCCGGGGCUCAACCCCGGAGGGUCAGCCGAUACUGGCAGGCUAGAGUACGGAAGAGGUAGCUGGAAUUCCCGGUGUAGCGGUGAAAUGCGUAGAUAUCGAGAGGAACACCUGCGGCGAAGGCGGGUUGCUGGGCCGACACUGACGCUGAUGCGCGAAAGCCAGGGGAGCGAACGGG
RNAcentral lists this ribosomal RNA (253 nucleotides) under uncultured prokaryote. Its description in RNAcentral is "partial 16S ribosomal RNA". It matches the Rfam family "Bacterial small subunit ribosomal RNA", at positions 524 to 776 of the family's 1533-position model. The record is from RNAcentral.